This 443-nucleotide long non-coding RNA is filed under the name Homo sapiens (human). Its description in RNAcentral is "HSALNT0307761". Lineage: Eukaryota; Metazoa; Chordata; Mammalia; Primates; Hominidae. The record is from RNAcentral.
CUGCCAUCCAUGUAAGAUGUGACUUGCUGCUCCUUGCCAUCUGCCAUGAUUGUGAAGUCUCUUCAGCCAUGUGGAGCCGAACUUCAUGAAAACCCAGUUAUCCAAAGAAUAGAAUAUUCAACUAUCUCUCCUGGAGAAUUACCACUUCUCACAACCAUAGACUACUCAACCAGGCUUGCCAAAUCUCAUUGCAAAAACCCCACUUCAGUGAAUCCUCCAGUGGCAAAUUUGACCCAGUUUCACACAGGCCUUCUUACUGAAUGGAUCACCUGAGAUCAAACCCUCAAGAUCUUGUGAAUAUCUUAUUCUUGAUCUUCCUGUUUCAAGAAACCACUAAGACUCUGUCAAUGUAGUUCACUAAUUUACUGCAGUAAGCAAUAAACCUGUCUUUAUUUAAUCAAUGAGUUAUUUUGGUAGUCUUACUGAAGAAAUGGUAGUAGACA